This 787-nucleotide ribosomal RNA is filed under the name uncultured bacterium. RNAcentral's name for it is "bacterial SSU rRNA". It matches the Rfam family "Bacterial small subunit ribosomal RNA", at positions 61 to 808 of the family's 1533-position model. The record is from RNAcentral.
GUCGAGCGAGCUUGCCUAGAUGAUUUUAGUGCUUGCACUAAAUGAAACUAGAUACAAGCGAGCGGCGGACGGGUGAGUAACACGUGGGUAACCUGCCCAAGAGACUGGGAUAACACCUGGAAACAGAUGCUAAUACCGGAUAACAACACUAGACGCAUGUCUAGAGUUUGAAAGAUGGUUCUGCUAUCACUCUUGGAUGGACCUGCGGUGCAUUAGCUAGUUGGUAAGGUAACGGCUUACCAAGGCAAUGAUGCAUAGCCGAGUUGAGAGACUGAUCGGCCACAUUGGGACUGAGACACGGCCCAAACUCCUACGGGAGGCAGCAGUAGGGAAUCUUCCACAAUGGACGAAAGUCUGAUGGAGCAACGCCGCGUGAGUGAAGAAGGGUUUCGGCUCGUAAAGCUCUGUUGGUAGUGAAGAAAGAUAGAGGUAGUAACUGGCCUUUAUUUGACGGUAAUUACUUAGAAAGUCACGGCUAACUACGUGCCAGCAGCCGCGGUAAUACGUAGGUGGCAAGCGUUGUCCGGAUUUAUUGGGCGUAAAGCGAGUGCAGGCGGUUCAAUAAGUCUGAUGUGAAAGCCUUCGGCUCAACCGGAGAAUUGCAUCAGAAACUGUUGAACUUGAGUGCAGAAGAGGAGAGUGGAACUCCAUGUGUAGCGGUGGAAUGCGUAGAUAUAUGGAAGAACACCAGUGGCGAAGGCGGCUCUCUGGUCUGCAACUGACGCUGAGGCUCGAAAGCAUGGGUAGCGAACAGGAUUAGAUACCCUGGUAGUCCAUGCCGUAAACG